RNAcentral lists this ribosomal RNA (182 nucleotides) under uncultured bacterium. RNAcentral describes it as "partial 16S ribosomal RNA". It matches the Rfam family "Bacterial small subunit ribosomal RNA", at positions 1319 to 1500 of the family's 1533-position model. The record is from RNAcentral.
CAUGAAGUCGGAAUUGCUAGUAAUCGCAGAUCAGCAUGCUGCGGUGAAUACGUUCCCGGGCCUUGUACACACCGCCCGUCACACCAUGGGAGUCGGUAACACCCGAAGCCUGUAGUCUAACCGCAAGGAGGACGCAGUCGAAGGUGGGAUUGAUGACUGGGGUGAAGUCGUAACAAGGUAUC